RNAcentral lists this ribosomal RNA (253 nucleotides) under uncultured bacterium. RNAcentral's name for it is "partial 16S ribosomal RNA". It matches the Rfam family "Bacterial small subunit ribosomal RNA", at positions 524 to 776 of the family's 1533-position model. The record is from RNAcentral.
GACGUAGGGCGCAAGCGUUGUCCGGAUUUAUUGGGCGUAAAGAGCUCGUAGGCGGCUCGUUGCGUCGGCUGUGAAAACCCGCAGCUCAACUGUGGGCUUGCAGCCGAUACGGGCGGGCUGGAGUUCGGUAGGGGAGACUGGAAUUCUUGGUGUAGCGGUGAAAUGCGUAGAUAUCAAGAGGAACACCUGCGGCGAAGGCGGGUUGCUGGGCCGACACUGACGCUGAGGCGCGAAAGCUAGGGGAGCGAACGGG